This 591-nucleotide long non-coding RNA is filed under the name Brassica rapa (field mustard). RNAcentral's name for it is "long non-coding RNA (BRAP_LNC002663)". Lineage: Eukaryota; Viridiplantae; Streptophyta; Magnoliopsida; Brassicales; Brassicaceae. The record is from RNAcentral.
UCGAUUUUUUUCUUAUCCUCUUUUUUUUUUUCUGAUAACUGCCACUUGUUUCUGUCUCCCCAACCCACUGAUCUCUUCUGGUAAUGAUUUCCAUCCAUAAGUUCAGAGUAAGUAUAUCUAUAUGAUCCACGAUUCAAAACAACUUAUUUGUUUCGAUGUAUCUCCAUAUCUGUUUCAUUACCAAACGUCUCCAAUUGAAGAGUUAUGAUUUUCUGUUCAUAUGAAUGUCCGAACAUUUGUCUGUUUAAUUUCCUUAAUCAUUUUUAUCCGAAAGGUAGUUCUUACUAAAUUUGUUGGUAGUCAUAUUAGUUACACCUGCCGUUUAACAUUGCAUAAAUUGUAGAUAUGCUUUUGUCGAACGUGACUGAAUAGAUAGUAUAUUUUAGGUCUGUUUCUAAUUAUUACUUUAAUAGCAAAACACAAGGGUUGUUUUUACUCCAAAAAAAAUGCUCAUUUCGUUUCCUGUUUGCAGCCGGACAAUAGGAGGAGAUUCAUUGAUCGAUGUGUUUCCUUCUCACCAAACAAUUACGGUUUCGACUCGCCUUUAGGACCAGAUUCAAUAGUGUAAGUUCCUCUUUCUUUUCGUAUCAU